Cyprinus carpio (common carp) is the source of this 1921-nucleotide long non-coding RNA. Lineage: Eukaryota; Metazoa; Chordata; Actinopteri; Cypriniformes; Cyprinidae. The record is from Ensembl.
AUUUGAAGGUUGACUUUUUUUGUAUUAAAAACACUUUUCUUUUAUUGGUCGGAUGAAAUAUGCUAAUUUUUUGAGAUCAUUUGAUCAUUUAUUAUACUACAUAGCAUUAUACAUCACUAGUUGUCCGCGACCAACAAUGUUGAUCUGCUGUGGUACAAGUCCUUGUGGGGAUUGAAAGAAUCCCAUCUUCUCUUGUUCCGUUGUGGUCGCCUUUUUGUAGGUUUAAAUAAUGAUUUAAUGAUUUGAUAUUUAUUUGUCGCCGUCAUGGCUAUAAUGCUUCUCUGACGAGCCGCUUUUUCUUCAGCUUUUGUCGUGGUACUGCAGGUUACACCAGCAGCAUGCCCGUGGACACUGCAGACCAGCGGUUUGCAUGUGUACUGCAUGUUGAUGUGGACAACGACUCAGAAGUAUAAAUGAAAACUGAUGCAUAGCCUAUGGCGUAGAGGAUGUACAUAACAAAAUUCUUCAGCUCAGCCUCCUUCUGAUGGAGAGUUUAUAAAGAGCAGCAGACUUCACUCUUCUCACAGUCAUGGACUUCUCUGCACAGGAAUAAAAUACUUUUAAGAGUAUCCAGAUCCAUGGGUGCCCAGGUUUCAGUCGUCAAUCAGACUCCUUACACCUGGUGCUUUGACACUCAGGACAAAAGAGGGUAUAAACGCAUCGCUCCUGGAUGCACAACAUCCUACGACGAGUCUCUGGCAAUCCAUCGCUACAUCUACAUCAGAUAUGAAAAUCACUCGUGGAAUAGUUUUUCAUACGAGUUUAACACCCAUAAAGGUGACACAUCUUUUAUCCUAAAAGAAGCCCUCGACCGUUCCCAGAUUCAGUUGCACUGCACCUCUGAAGGCGGCACUCGUUACUGUCCCAACUACAGUAAGUUCCUGCAAACAUGUCAUUUCUGGACUACUCUGUACAGCCAAAAGUAUGUGACCCCCUACCAUCACAGCACAAUGUGCUUGUUCAGCAUCCCAUUCAAAAUUAAUUUAGCCUUUGCUGUUAUAAAAACAAAGAAAAAUCCAGCAACAUUUCUGGUAAAGAAAAGUUGUGUUAUUUGAAAAAAAAAAAGUUUUUUUCUUCAGUUUUUAAUACAUAUAAUAUAUUGUCUCUAAUCCCAUGGUGUCGGAUGCUGUUUUUAAACAGGAAGAAUUAAAGAAGAUGAAAACCGGAGACAGCAAGAGGAGGAGAGAAGACGUCUGGAACGGGAGUAAACAAGCACCCCCUGUUGUCCGUUGUAAUAUUUGUUGUUCUAGGGACAAAAAAAAAGUGUAGGUUCUCUUGCAGCUGGUCUGCAACCACAUGUAAGAAAUCUUGGGUAACAUUUGAUUUGUCACUAAACUUCACCAGCCAGUUUCAAAUCGGUUUUUAAAACCUCUUAACAGCAUUCACCAGCAAAGAUCACCAGCGGCCUCGGAUUAUUGCUGUUUCACAUUCACAGCAUAUUAAAACACACUAUUAUUUGAUCCGGAAAUACUGUGUGUCUUUAAAAAGAUGAAAAGUGUCGAAAGUUUUCAGAUUUUAUCCUGUUUAAUGUGUUUGUACUUUUUAUAUGCUUAAAGGAUUAGUUCACCCAAAAAUGAAAAUUCUGUCAUUAAUUACUCACCCUCAUGUCAUUCUAAACCCGUAAGACCUCUGUUCAUCUUCGAAACACAAAUUAAGAUAUUUUUGAUACAUUCUAACAGCUCUCUGAUCCUCCCAUAGACAGCAAUGUAAUUUCCACAAUCAAGGUCCAUCUGUGACACACAGAUAUGUUUGCUACGUUGUUUACGCAUUGAUUGGAAAGAAAACAAUGUAUCCGUGUGACACAGCUUACACAGAAUAUAAUACGCUGUUUGCGUUCAUUGGAUACUCUCCAAAAUGACACCAGGGUGACGUGGAGGAGACGAAUUGUUGAAUAAAGUUAUUUUUGUUUUCUUCGCGUACA